Molecule: ribosomal RNA, 139 nt
Filed under: Alphaproteobacteria bacterium
Lineage: Bacteria; Pseudomonadati; Pseudomonadota; Alphaproteobacteria
Description: partial 23S ribosomal RNA
Rfam family: Bacterial large subunit ribosomal RNA
Source: RNAcentral
UGCAUCUAAGCGGGAAACUUUCCUUGAAAUAAGGUAUCCCAAUUAAGGAAGUGGUAGACAACCACAUUGAUAGGUCGGGGGUGAAAGCGCUGUGAGGCGUUGAGCUGACCGAUACUAAUUACCUGAUUGACUUUAUUCA